RNAcentral lists this transfer-messenger RNA (353 nucleotides) under bacterium. RNAcentral's name for it is "SDB-A sp001412365 Standard tmRNA". It matches the Rfam family "transfer-messenger RNA". Rfam says of the family: Bacterial tmRNA, also known as 10Sa RNA or SsrA, is named for its dual tRNA and mRNA-like properties. Its role is to liberate the mRNA from a stalled ribosome. The record is from RNAcentral.
GGGGGUGAAAUGGUUUCGACGGUUUUGAAAGUCUCAAAGCUGCAUGCCGAGUUGCCGUAAACUCGUUAAACGAUGGCACAAAAUCAACUGCCAAUAGCAGUUAUGCUUUAGCUGCUUAAUUUUAAAGCAGCCCUCUGCUCUUGUUUCGCCUGUUGAGCAAGAGACCAGGGGUCACAUUAAACAGGCUACUUCCAAACCUUGCAUCGGGAGAGGAAGGAAACAAAAAGAUGCUGGUCUGGUUGUCAUCCAGUCUGAAGGAGGAUAAUCCGACGAGAACAAAGUUUGGACUAAGCAUGUAGACGUUUUGAAGUCUUCAUUAUCGGACGCGGGUUCGAUUCCCGCCACCUCCAUAU